UACGAAGGGUGCAAGCGUUACUCGGAAUUACUGGGCGUAAAGCGUGCGUAGGUGGUUGUUUAAGUCUGUCGUGAAAGCCCUGGGCUCAACCUGGGAAUUGCGAUGGAUACUGGGCGACUAGAGUGUGGUAGAGGGAUGUGGAAUUUCCGGUGUAGCAGUGAAAUGCGUAGAGAUCGGAAGGAACAUCUGUGGCGAAGGCGACAUCCUGGGCCAACACUGACACUGAGGCACGAAAGCGUGGGGAGCAAACAGG
RNAcentral lists this ribosomal RNA (253 nucleotides) under Pseudoxanthomonas sp. RNAcentral describes it as "partial 16S ribosomal RNA". It matches the Rfam family "Bacterial small subunit ribosomal RNA", at positions 524 to 776 of the family's 1533-position model. Lineage: Bacteria; Pseudomonadati; Pseudomonadota; Gammaproteobacteria; Lysobacterales; Lysobacteraceae. RNAcentral also lists the same sequence under 1 other name. The record is from RNAcentral.